AUUCAGCUCGCUGUUCGCUAGCCAGCUCAUGUUCGGCUCGAAAUGAGCUCGAGAUCGAAUCGCUCGUUUAGUAAACGAGCCAAACACGAGCCGAAUUGUUUAGCUUAUUUAAUAAAUGAGCCGAACACGAGCUAUGGACAACUCGCUCGUAUUCGGCUCGAUAACAGCUCGAAUACUUAUAUUUUAUAUUUAUAUAAUUUAUCUAAUAUAUAUUUAUAUAUAUAAAUAAACAAUUAUAUAUAUAAUGUAUAUAUAUUUAUUAUUUGAUUUUUAGUAAAAAAAAAAUAUAAAGCCGAGCUCAAUUAUAAAAACACUUAUUUAUAUGUAAAGUUUCAACCAUUAAAUCAAAAUUUAAUAGAUAAAAGUUUAUAAAUUUAUUUUUUAUAUAUAUUCAAUGUAAUUUAUUUAACUUAUUAUUCAUUAGCCAGCUCACGAGCUGAAUUUUUCGACUCGAUACUUUUUUAAAUGAGCCGAACACGAGCC
Molecule: long non-coding RNA, 483 nt
Filed under: Ananas comosus (pineapple)
Lineage: Eukaryota; Viridiplantae; Streptophyta; Magnoliopsida; Poales; Bromeliaceae
Description: long non-coding RNA (ACOM_LNC035580)
Source: RNAcentral